This 329-nucleotide unclassified non-coding RNA is filed under the name soil metagenome. RNAcentral describes it as "partial contains 5.8S ribosomal RNA, internal transcribed spacer 2, and large subunit ribosomal RNA". The stretch from base 1 to 120 matches the Rfam family "5.8S ribosomal RNA", at positions 35 to 154 of the family's 154-position model. The record is from RNAcentral.
GAUGAAGAACGCAGCGAAAUGCGAUAAGUAAUGUGAAUUGCAGAAUUCAGUGAAUCAUCGAAUAUUUGAACGCGCAUUGCGACCCUUGGUAUUCCGAGGGGCAUGCCUGUUCGAGCGUCAUUAUAACCCCUCAAGCUCAGCUUGGUGUUGGGGCCUGCUGCACUGGCAGCCCUUAAAAUCAGUGGCGGCGCCAUCUGGCUCUAAGCGUAGUAAUUCUUCUCGCUAUGGAGUCCUGGUGGAUGCUUGCCAUCAACCCCCAAUUUUUCUAUGGUUGACCUCGGAUCAGGUAGGGAUACCCGCUGAACUUAAGCAUAUCAAUAAGCGGAGGA